Molecule: ribosomal RNA, 254 nt
Filed under: uncultured bacterium
Lineage: Bacteria
Description: partial 16S ribosomal RNA
Rfam family: Bacterial small subunit ribosomal RNA
Source: RNAcentral
UACGUAGGCAGCAAGCGUUGUUCGGAGUUACUGGGCGUAAAGGGUGUGUAGGCGGUCCUCUAAGUUUGGUGUGAAAUCUCCCGGCUCAACUGGGAGGGUGCGCCGAAAACUGGAGGGCUAGAGUACUGGAUGGGAGAGUGGAAUUCCUGGUGUAGCGGUGAAAUGCGUAGAUAUCAGGAGGAACACCUGUGGUGUAGACGGCUCUCUGGACAGUAACUGACGCUGAGACACGAAAAGCGUGGGUAGCAAACAGG